UUCUGAGGCUGCUCCAGCUCCCUCUGGGUCUCAGCCGUGUAGCCCAGCCUGAGCCAGACACCGUCCCUGCUCAUGGGUGCUCUGCUGCACCAUUACUGAGGCUUCACCAAAGGCCCUGGGAGAUGUUGCUGACCAUGGACCUGCUUCAGGUGUCACCUGUAGCUGUGGAUGGAUGGGCCUCACAUUCGACACAACAGUCCUGGCUGCCAGAUUUUCUGUGCUGAUGUGGUUUGUAAGAGAUGGGGAGAGGCUGGAGUAUGCACUGGGCUUCCGGAUGGCCACAGCCACACUACAGCCACAGGGAGCCUUGGGCCAUGCAUUGCUGCCUAGAGCUGGUGAGCCUUGUUCCAGCCAGAGCCCCCAUCUUCAGCCCAAGGUUGUCCUGCUGCUGGAGUUGUCUCAGAUCUGCAGCACCGUCCACAGCCAUCAGAUGGUCCAUCAGUGUCCUGGGCUGUAUAGACACCAGUGGUCUCUGCAGGAGGCUGGUCUUUUUAGGAGCAAGGGAAACGAAGGAAGAAGUGUCUCAAAGGGAUGCUGAAUGGUGCAUGGUGAAUAGAUGAGUGCUUCCAAAAGGGCAUUGAUCUGGGGUGGGAUCCGAUCUGGCAAAGUCAGGUGGAGCAAUGUCUUCUUGCCAUCGAUGUGGGUCGGGAGCCAGCCACAGGCACAAACCAGCUCAGGAGGAGCAUUGUGAGUCAAAACAGGCUUCUUUGAAAGACAGGGUUGCUGAAAGUGAGCAGUGAUGUCCCUGAGGGUGGGCUGAGCCACUGGCUACUGUGCAGGAUACCCCAACCCACCACAAAGCACCCGGUGCUGUGGCAUAGGGGUCUCUGGAAGGCCCCAGCCCUGCUGGUUGAUGGUUCUCCAGCAGCACCAUUGCCAAGGCUGGGAGCUGGCUGGGGAUAUUAUUGUUAGGAGUGAUUGAGACUGAAGCAGAGAGGCAAACAGAAAGCCCUGGUCUGGCACAACUCUGUGCAUGGUGGACUUCUGCUUUGACUGCUCCAUGCUGUUGAGGUUCAAAUUGCUGUAUUUCUUUGUGCAGAAGGGCUAGAAGUGGAUAUGGGCAACAAGGGUGACUAAAGAAACUGAGUAGCUUCCACACAAGGAACAACUGAACAGGCUGGGAUGCUUCCUCCAGGGCCUGAGAUGAUAAGGGAAAGAAGACAGAAAGCUGUGUUCCCCCAGGUCAGACAAACCUUCAUGACGAUGAUGGGAGAUGCACUGCUCACUCAAAUGUUACCUCCAACCCCUUCUCCUGGGGCUGAGUGUAGAACUUACAGACCUGGUUACUGGAAACCUACCAAGACCACAUAGUGAUUUUUUCCCCUCCUCAAUAGCAACUAAAAUGUUUUGGCUCAAAUUUGUCUUUUUCUUGUGAGCUCUCGCUGUGAUUCUGGCCCCAGAAGGGAGCUUUUCAUCUACUGUAGGUAAUGUUUGACAGCAUUGCAAGCAAAUGAAAAUUGGGUCUUACAAAGGCCAGUGUCUGGAAAUCUUUAUCAAGCAGGACUAGCCUCGUUUAUGAUUACAUAUAUGUACAGUUUUGUACAAUUCCACAUCUUGGCCGGCUCUGAGGGCAAUUGCUCAAGAUUGUAUUUUUUUCCUCAAAGUGCUGGCAAUUUAUUGGUGGAAAAACUUAUUUUAUACCUUCAGGAGAAUACAAUGGCAUUGCUGUUGCCCUCUGAGAUGUUUUUAGGUCUUAACUACCCCAGGAAUGCCAACAGACCUUUGCACCAGCAGGCAUAGGAGCGAGCACUGAAAUGGCAGGGAAGGGGAGGAAUGUUUUCAGUCUUUUGGAUUUCUGCAUAAAAUAGAGGCUGAAAGCAUGUCUUCAAAAUAAUUGAGCAAGGAUACUGCUCAUUACAUAAGGUUGUUGGGGGAAAAAAUAGGCUGAUUUACAUUUUUAUAGGAAAUAAAAGGAGUUUAGUGGGUGACAUAGCACCUUCCGCUGAGAAUGUCAGCGUGAGAUAAGUGGGCUUCAAAUAAAAGAGUAAACAUUUUCCUGUGGGGACCGAAUCCAUCCCGGAGAGCCUGGUCCGGGAGGGAAGCAUUUUUAAAAGACAAUUUUUGUCGCCAUAAAUAAUAUGUUUCGUUAGCACAACGUGUGUUCACUGCAAGGAUGCUAAUUCCCAUCCUUGCCUGCUGAUUUUUGCUGGUUCAUCUGAGGUUUGGUGCAGCUCUGGGUAGCAGGGAAACUGGACUGCCUCCGUUUUGUGGAUGUGGUGCUUUUCCGGGCAAGGGGAGGGCUGGAUGUGCUUUACAGGAACAGAGGGAUAUUUCAGUGGCUGUCAGAGCAGGCUCUAGUUUAGAGAUACUUCAGUUUCAUUCACGAGUAGCCUGGUGAGGGUUUUAUCCUGGUUUCAGGUUGGUGGCCCUUUGAGAUUCGCGAUGCCAUGCUUCAGAUCCGCUGCUGUCUGGCAUAACAAUUCAGGUUGCUCAAAAGCAAUGAUUAGCAUAAAUGAACGAGUGGGUGAAAUGUUCAUUAUAUUGCCUACUGUCAUGUUUGUGUACCAGAUUUUGUUACCAUCUGUCAUUUCUGUUUUCUUGUUGUUGCCAAAAGUUGUCAUUCUGAAUGGAGGGUGGAGACAUAUUUUGAAAAGCCAACACGAGAUAAUUUUAGGUACUUUAGGGCUCAUAUGUUCCGUGCUGGGUGUCAGCAGCCCGCAUGUGCAUCAGCCUGGCGAGUCUUUGAUAAAUUCUGGGCAGUGAUUUAGUUAAAAGAGUUUUUAAAGUCAUUGGUUGCAGUCAUGCAAAUGCGUGAGGUUCUCAGCUCUUGCCAGUUGAAUAAAGGAUCUGGCCCUCGUAACUGUGAAGAAAAGCUUGAAAAUAAAAUGUUACGUUUCUCCUAAUGUUAAAAAAAAAAAAAAAAAGCAAAGAAUAUAAAGGAAGGGGACAUGUAGUGACAUCAGACUGGUAAAAACCAAGCUCCUGCCUAAAGAUCUGACCAAGGAAAGCGACAGCUUCGCUGCAGCAGACUGCAAUGUCCCCAGAUUAUUUCCAGAGAUGUAAAUGUCCUGGGGAUGAGAAGCUGGACAAAUUCAACCUUGAAAUAAGCUGCAGCUCUCUCACAGUGAUGGUAACUGCAUACUGCGACAGUCUGCAAGGGGAGCGGUGCACUCACCAGGGCUUGCAGCCUUUAAAGCAAAAUUAGCUCAUUUUCAAGCGCACGUUUUCAAUUCAGGUGCUGGGAAGAAUGGCUCAGCCUGUAAGUGGGGAGUUGGUACAUGAAGCCAUGAGGAUUUCUUGCCUUGCCCCAGUGCUACAAGAUCACCCAGUCUGAAAGCUGGGUGCCCUGUGCCAGCCAGGGAGGGAGAAGGCUCCGGGGCUUUUUGUCUGACCUGAGUUACAGGGCUCAGUGUUCACGUGAAAUGCAGUGAUGUGUGGCAUCAAAAAAUGCAGAAAAGAUGAUCUAAUGGUUUCAGUUUGACUUAAACUCCAGGAAUUACAAAGCCAGACAGUUUUGGGAUGUUUUUGUGAUGGUUGGGCAUAGCCAGCCAAUGAACCAACUUCAUAACCAAAACUAUAAAGAUACCCCAGUGUUGUGGUGAGAACUCACACUGGAGUGGGAGUUCAGGGAGCUACUGCUUGAUCAAGGAGAAGGAGAUGGGGCUGCCUUUGCUCUGAAAGAGCUCAACAUCUCUGACUGAAGUCUGGGGUAGACCAGGACCAUGUCAUGACAACAACCACUUAUAGACCAAAGGAGGAGAAGGAUGAGAAUGAGACUUCUUUCCAGGAAGUCUCAAAAAAUCCCAAGGUUUCUGGCAGGAGGGCUUUGAACUCUGUGUCCAGAGUCUCAGGCUGCCCACCUGCUGCCGCUGAACCCUGCUGGGAUGUUUGCUGGCUUCAGCAGGAUGAGGAGCCACCAAAUGACCUCUCCUGGGAGAGCCUUCAAAGAAGCCCAGAGGUGGCUCCACCAUGGUUAAGUCUGCACCAGCUACUGCAGUCACUAAAAGGUAAAUCAUGCUGUGAGAAAGUGAAAUCCACAUCCAGCUCCCUGUCUUCACUGGAUGCCUCCUAGAAGCUUUAAGCAGCUCCAUGGUGGGUUUGUACCCUUAGUGGUGCCAGCCACCCAGCCUUGGCUGCCCUGGGCUGGCCUGGCCCCUGCUUUGUAACCGCAGGAGGAGGUAGGACCAGGGGUACAAAAAGGGGCUUGAGAGCACAGCUGGUGUUGGUGCUGUCAACCAAGGCUCAACCCAAGAGCAACUGUAUGUCCGGGCUGAUCACCUCCAUAGCUGGAAGUCUCAGGUCACUCUCUUUACAACUGCUUCUUCCUCCCCACGCAUGGGCUGGGAUCAAGGGACUGUGCUUCCUCCAACAACUGGGCUCAUGCUGGCUCUGGUACAUUCUGUGAUGUUUUAAGUUACAAACUUUUCCUGGCAGAGCCUUCAUCCAUGCAAAAUCCUGUA
Neopsephotus bourkii (Bourke's parrot) is the source of this 4400-nucleotide long non-coding RNA. RefSeq lists it as uncharacterized. NCBI's taxonomy places the organism in Eukaryota, Metazoa, Chordata, Aves, Psittaciformes, Psittacidae. The record is from RefSeq and is a predicted model, not a curated record. The transcript has 2 exons.